AUUUUGGUGAAGAUGACGCCUACCACUGGGCUCCUGGGAAGGCUUCUACAUGCUGGACCUCACCAAUUAUCUAAUUUUUAUAAUAAGCUCACUUUCCCUAAUUGCUUUACUUCUAUCAACAGGUACCGUGGAAAGAUAAGGAUAUUUCAUCUUUCAAGGGAGAGAAUUUCAGGUACGGUCUGUAAAGAGAAGUUUAUUAAAGAAAAAAAUAAAGGAUUUGGCCUUUGAACUCACUGGCAAAAAAAAGUGGUAUUAGGUAUUGGGGACGCACAAGGCAUACUGGGUGGUAUUUUUUGUUUUUUUUCCGGAGGAUCCCCUUUUCUUUUGCUGCCUCCGUAUUAUCACUUCCAACGGCAGAAUGUCAAGGUCCAACUCCAAUGGGCAAUGUCUUUCCAGGAUCUAACAAUCUCAGGUACCAGAAGGACUGGGGCAUGGUCAUUCCUCCCCUCCAGGUGAAAAAGACAAGUGAGGGGAAUUUAGAAAAUCAGGGAGGAGACUGUAUUCCUCGGGGUUAACAGUUCUGCCCUAAAUCGAAAAUCACCUCCAUUCCUUCAAGUUGUGUGGCUUGGCCAAGUUGCUCUGCCCCUCCGACCCUUCAACUGGAAAAUGGAACUAUUAAUCCCUUCCUUACAGACACCGUUGGAAGGAGAACCCUAUUAGUCUCAGCCUAAUCUGCACCGGGCUUGGUAGACAGAUUCCCGGACCCACUGAAUGCAGCUCUACCAAGAAGCAGCCUGGGAAAACCAGCGCCCUAGAUGAGUCCUCCGUUUGGGAAACGCUGAGGUAACAAGGAAAGUACUUAGAGGAAUACUAACAAUCCUUGGUGGUGAGGUUCCGCCCAUUUGACAAGCAACCCCUCUACCAGUGCGCACCGAGAAACCGACCCGAGCGGGCAGGGGCCGGGGAGGGUCACCCGCAUCUCCCUCCUGGGAAGGUAAUGCCCUCGCCGAUCUUCGCUCCCAGAAGCGCCCUCGCAGGUAUUCCAGCGCCGCCGGCCAGGGAGCCUCGGAGCCGAGGUGCGCCAGGUGGCGAGGGUGCCAGGCGCGGCUAAGUCGAGGCGGACUGAGUCAGCCGCCCAGCUAUGCUGCGGAACCAGGGCGGCCGGCUUUGCCGCCCCCGCCGCUGAGCCCGCGCUGCCCCCGCGCCGGGCGCCGGCUGCCCGCCCCCGCGGGUGGAGAGGAAGCAGCCGAGGCGCGGCGCGAGAGCACCUGGGCAGGCGCCGGCGGCGGGCNNNNNNNNNNNNNNNNNNNNNNNNNNNNNNNNNNNNNNNNNNNNNNNNNNNNCGGCCGCGGCGCGCCAGCCCGUGUGACAGCGCCGCCCGCGCGGCCGCCGCCCGGCAGCAGACGCGGUGCGGGCAGCCGGCGGGAACCCGGGAGGAGGAGGCCCCGCGCCUGGGACGGACGGAUUUUUCAACUCUUUGAGAGAAGACAUUGCAUCUUCACUUUCUUUGUGGCACUUGACACGGUUCUCAGAUGA
RNAcentral lists this long non-coding RNA (1476 nucleotides) under Ailuropoda melanoleuca (giant panda). RNAcentral describes it as "lncRNA (ENSAMEG00000026944.1)". Lineage: Eukaryota; Metazoa; Chordata; Mammalia; Carnivora; Ursidae. The record is from RNAcentral.